UCAACAGCAAAUUCAAUUGCUUACUUGUUGGUAGGUAUGUUGAAAGGUUUACGGUAACUUUAUUACCUGUAUACCGUAUAUACAUUACUGUACACUUAAGGUCUGCAUUUACUAUUAAUCAUUGAGUUCAGUGGCGUAAUUGUGGAGGUGUACGACCAUCCGUUAUUACUCCCUGACAUAACGUAGUAGGUGUGACGAAAUGCUUUUACACCUGUUG
This is a non-coding RNA of Cinara cedri, 217 nucleotides long. Lineage: Eukaryota; Metazoa; Arthropoda; Insecta; Hemiptera; Aphididae. The record is from the annotation of a GenBank genome assembly.